UGGGGAAUAUUGGACAAUGGGCGAAAGCCUGAUCCAGCCAUGCCGCGUGUGUGAAGAAGGUCUUCAGAUUGUAAAGCACUUUAAGUUGGGAGGAAGGGCAGUAAGCGAAUACCUUGCUGUUUUGACGUUACCGACAGAAUAAGCACCGGCUAACUCUGUGCCAGCAGCCGCGGUAAUACAGAGGGUGCAAGCGUUAAUCGGAAUUACUGGGCGUAAAGCGCGCGUAGGUGGUUCGUUAAGUUGAAUGUGAAAGCCCCGGGCUCAACCUGGGAACGGCAUCCAAAACUGGCGAGCUAGAGUAGGGCAGAGGGUGGUGGAAUUUCCUGUGUAGCGGUGAAAUGCGUAGAUAUAGGAAGGAACACCAGUGGCGAAGGCGACCACCUGGGCUCAUACUGACACUGAGGUGCGAAAGCGUGGGGAGCAAACAGG
RNAcentral lists this ribosomal RNA (429 nucleotides) under Pseudomonadota bacterium. RNAcentral describes it as "Proteobacteria bacterium partial 16S ribosomal RNA". It matches the Rfam family "Bacterial small subunit ribosomal RNA", at positions 355 to 776 of the family's 1533-position model. Lineage: Bacteria; Pseudomonadati; Pseudomonadota. The record is from RNAcentral.